AUGAGAGGGAGCAGCCUAGUGCAGGGGACGAUGAUAUUCUUCAUUGGAUGCCUUGUGCUUUGUGCACAGUGUGCUCUCGAUAAUAAGCAAAGGAUGGUCAACCAAGAUGAUCAUGCGGCGAACACAAGUACCAACGCUACCAUCAUCAACUCAACAUCUGUAGGCGAGAGCAAGAAAACCGAGAAAUUUUGCAGCCUCUUUCUCGUAUGUUAUUUCAACAUUGAGAUUCGUGCUGAGUGCUACUGUUGCGAGAAUAAGAAUGCCGACUGUUACAAGACGAAGAGUGAGUGCCUGCAGAAGUGCCAUUCCUACAACGGUUAA
This 321-nucleotide ribosomal RNA is filed under the name Triticum aestivum (bread wheat). RNAcentral's name for it is "partial small subunit ribosomal RNA". Lineage: Eukaryota; Viridiplantae; Streptophyta; Magnoliopsida; Poales; Poaceae. The record is from RNAcentral.